AUUGAACGCUGGCGGCAGGCCUAACACAUGCAAGUCGAACGGUAACAGGAAGACGCUUGCUUCUUUGCUGACGAGUGGCGGACGGGUGAGUAAUGUCUGGGAAACUGCCUGAUGGAGGGGGAUAACUACUGGAAACGGUAGCUAAUACCGCAUAACGUCGCAAGACCAAAGAGGGGGACCUUCGGGCCUCUUGCCAUCGGAUGUGCCCAGAUGGGAUUAGCUAGUAGGUGGGGUAACGGCUCACCUAGGCGACGAUCCCUAGCUGGUCUGAGAGGAUGACCAGCCACACUGGAACUGAGACACGGUCCAGACUCCUACGGGAGGCAGCAGUGGGGAAUGUUGCACAAUGGGCGCAAGCCUGAUGCAGCCAUGCCGCGUGUAUGAAGAAGGCCUUCGGGUUGUAAAGUACUUUCAGCGGGGAGGAAGGGAGUAAAGUUAAUACCCUUGCUCAUUGACGUUACCCGCAGAAGAAGCACCGGCUAACUCCGUG
Molecule: ribosomal RNA, 490 nt
Filed under: uncultured bacterium
Lineage: Bacteria
Description: partial 16S ribosomal RNA
Rfam family: Bacterial small subunit ribosomal RNA
Source: RNAcentral